GAUGAAGAACGCAGCGAAAUGCGAUAAGUAAUGUGAAUUGCAGAGUUCAGUGAAUCAUCGAAUCUUUGAACGCACAUUGCGCCCCUUGGUAUUCCAUGGGGCAUGCCUGUUCGAGCGUCAUUUGUACCCUCAAGCUCUGCUUGGUGUUGGGUGUUUGUCCCGCGUUGCGUGUGGACUCGCCUUAAAGCGAUUGGCAGCCGGCAUAUUGGCCUUGGAGCGCAGCACAUUUUGCGCUUCUCGUCAUGAUUGUUGGCGUCCAUUAAGCCUAUACAUUUGCUCUUGACCUCGGAUCAGGUAGGGAUACCCGCUGAACUUAAGCAUAUCAAUAAGCGGAGGA
Molecule: unclassified non-coding RNA, 337 nt
Filed under: soil metagenome
Description: partial contains 5.8S ribosomal RNA, internal transcribed spacer 2, and large subunit ribosomal RNA
Rfam family: 5.8S ribosomal RNA (bases 1-120)
Source: RNAcentral